Molecule: unclassified non-coding RNA, 207 nt
Filed under: Hevea brasiliensis (rubber tree)
Lineage: Eukaryota; Viridiplantae; Streptophyta; Magnoliopsida; Malpighiales; Euphorbiaceae
Source: RNAcentral
AGGAUCAAUGGAUCUCUGGCACGUCGGGCCAUCAAGGAUUUGAUGGCAAGAGGAGCUAUCAGGAUGAUUUCUGCUCAUGCUAGCCAGCAGAUUUACACAAGAGCCACCAACACCUAGGAGAAAAUGAAUUAGUCUGCAUUUUGCUUUUAACUCAUAGGAUGUUUCUCAUUUUCCGAGAUGCCAACUUUAUCUUUGCCUUUUCAUUUU